CCCUUAGAUGUCCUGGGCCGCACGCGCGUUACACUGAUGCAUUCAACGAGCUUAUAACCUUGGCCGAGAGGCCUGGGCAAUCUUGUUAACGUGCAUCGUGAUAGGGAUAGAUUAUUGAAAUUAUUAAUCUUGAACGAGGAAUUCCUAGUAAACGCAGAUCAUCAAUCUGCAUUGAUUACGUCCCUGCCCUUUGUACACACCGCCCGUCGCACCUACCGAUUGGAUGGUCCGGUGAAGCCUCCGGAUUGGCGCGCACCUCGGUGCCGCCGAGAAGUUGGCUAAACCUUACCAUUUAGAGGAAGGUGAAGUCGUAACA
This 316-nucleotide ribosomal RNA is filed under the name uncultured eukaryote. RNAcentral's name for it is "partial 18S ribosomal RNA". It matches the Rfam family "Eukaryotic small subunit ribosomal RNA", at positions 1470 to 1796 of the family's 1831-position model. The record is from RNAcentral.